AAGAAAUACUUCCCGGAAGAAAGCAGAGCCUUGUCUCCGGCAGGGCAGGGGUCUUCUUCCCCUCGAAGCUGCGGGGUCGCAGUAACAGGAGGUCCUCAAGAUGCAUCAGCCACAUCUGUUCCCUUCCUUGUCUGCUUGGCCCCCCCAUGCGCUUGUAGCCAGCAGCGUCCCUCGGGGCUGCACCUGGGCUGUAAAUGCCUCCUGUUCCCCCCGGAGGGCACCGACCUUGGAGCAGGCUCAACCUCCGCUCAGCUCCUGCGCCACUGCAGGAAGCUGACGAUGAUGAAGGAGAGUGCAGGCGCAGGGAGCGCGGUGGUGCAGUCCAUCCGGACCACACAUCUAGGGGUGCUCCAGUCACGGUCAGGAUAGAAGACAAGGAGGUCCUACUGGCGAUGCUGUAUUUCCACAAUCUUCUCAGUGUUUGAGAUCAAAAAAGGAAGUGUUCAGAGACGAGUGCAAUAAAGACCGGGCUGCUGGGGUAGAAUGUCA
Molecule: long non-coding RNA, 489 nt
Filed under: Crocodylus porosus (Australian saltwater crocodile)
Lineage: Eukaryota; Metazoa; Chordata; Crocodylia; Crocodylidae
Description: lncRNA (ENSCPRG00005001754.1)
Source: RNAcentral